Molecule: transfer RNA, 71 nt
Filed under: Loxodonta africana (African savanna elephant)
Lineage: Eukaryota; Metazoa; Chordata; Mammalia; Proboscidea; Elephantidae
Rfam family: tRNA
About the family: Transfer RNA (tRNA) molecules are approximately 80 nucleotides in length. Their secondary structure includes four short double-helical elements and three loops (D, anti-codon, and T loops).
Source: Rfam by way of RNAcentral
GCAAUGGUAGCUCAGUGGUAGAAUUCUUCUCUUACAUGCAUGAGACCUGGGUUUGAUUCUUAGCCAGUGCA